Molecule: ribosomal RNA, 942 nt
Filed under: Marinospirillum sp. CPA-15
Lineage: Bacteria; Pseudomonadati; Pseudomonadota; Gammaproteobacteria; Oceanospirillales; Oceanospirillaceae
Description: bacterial SSU rRNA
Rfam family: Bacterial small subunit ribosomal RNA
Source: RNAcentral
UGCAAGUCGAGCGGAAACGAUGGAAGCUUGCUUCCAGGCGUCGAGCGGCGGACGGGUGAGUAAUGCAUAGGAAUCUGCCCGGUAGUGGGGGAUAACUCGGGGAAACUCGAGCUAAUACCGCAUACGUCCUACGGGAGAAAGUGGGCUUUUGCUCACGCUAUCGGAUGAGCCUAUGUCAGAUUAGCUAGUUGGUGGGGUAAAGGCUCACCAAGGCGACGAUCUGUAGCUGGUCUGAGAGGAUGAUCAGCCACACUGGGACUGAGACACGGCCCAGACUCCUACGGGAGGCAGCAGUGGGGAAUAUUGGACAAUGGGGGCAACCCUGAUCCAGCCAUGCCGCGUGUGUGAAGAAGGCUUUCGGGUUGUAAAGCACUUUCAGCGAGGAGGAAAGCGGUGUUGUUAAUACCAGCAUCGUGUGACGUUACUCGCAGAAGAAGCACCGGCAAACUCCGUGCCAGCAGCCGCGGUAAUACGGAGGGUGCGAGCGUUAAUCGGAAUUACUGGGCGUAAAGCGUGCGUAGGUGGUUAAGUAAGCCAGAUGUGAAAGCCCCGGGCUUAACCUGGGAACGGCAUCUGGAACUGCUUAACUAGAGUGCAGUAGAGGAAGGUAGAAUUCCACGUGUAGCGGUGAAAUGCGUAGAUAUGUGGAGGAAUACCAGUGGCGAAGGCGGCCUUCUGGACUGACACUGACACUGAGGUACGAAAGCGUGGGGAUCAAACAGGAUUAGAUACCCUGGUAGUCCACGCCGUAAACGAUGUCUACUAGCCGUUGGGCUCCUUGAGAGCUUAGUGGCGCAGCUAACGCAAUAAGUAGACCGCCUGGGGAGUACGGCCGCAAGGUUAAAACUCAAAUGAAUUGACGGGGGCCCGCACAAGCGGUGGAGCAUGUGGUUUAAUUCGAUGCAACGCGAAGAACCUUACCUACCCUUGACAUCCAGAGAA